RNAcentral lists this long non-coding RNA (8311 nucleotides) under Lynx pardinus (Iberian lynx). Lineage: Eukaryota; Metazoa; Chordata; Mammalia; Carnivora; Felidae. The record is from RNAcentral.
UGGCGAUCUGAUGGAUUCUGAUACCAGCCCAGGUGCUUUGGAGAGGUUGACUCGCAGAUAAACAAGGUAAAAUGAGAAUUGGCUUCAUCUGAAACGUGUGUGUCCUCCCCCUCCCCUCCCCCCUUUAAAGCUUGGUCAACAUUGUCUGGAAUGGGAAUUGUGAUUUGUUUUUUAAGUAAUCUUUGUGCUUAACGUGAGGCUUGAACUCAUGACCCCAAGAGCAAGAGUCGCAUGCUUCAUGGACUGAGCCAGCCGGGUGCCCUGGAGUUAUGUUUUCGCCUUUUUUUCAGUUGGCGUAAGGAAUAUGAAAAAAAAAAAAAUCCACUGUCUUUCCUUUUUAUUACAGCUCAGAAUAAUUGCACGAAAAAGUGGCCAAAAUAAUAUCAAGUAUGGUAGGAAGGUGUCCAUCAUAAAAUCUAACACUGAGGGAGGGGAAAAGGGGAAAAAAAAACAACCCCGGGGCACCUGGGUGACUCAGCUGGUUGAGCGUCUUGAUAUUGCGGUUUGUGAGUUCAAGCCCUACAUUGGGCUCGCUGCUGUCAGUGCAGGGCCUGCUUGGGUCCUCUGUCCCCCUCUUUCUCUGUCCCCCCCCCCCCCCCCCCCCCACUUGCACUCUCUCAAAAAUAAGUAAAUACUGAGCGUAACCGCUCAGUCGGUUAAGCGUCCGACUUCGGCUCAGGUCAGGAUCUCACUGUCCAUGAGUUCGAGCCCCACAUCGGGCUGUGUGCUGACAGCUCAGAGCCUGGAGCCUGUUUCGGAUUCUGUGUCUCCCUCUCUCUCUGCCGCCCCCCUGCUCAUGCUCUGUCUCUCUCUGUCUCAAAAAUCAAUCAUUUAAAAAAGUUAAAAAAGGGGCGCCUGGGUGGUUCAGUCAGUUAAGCGGCCGACUUCGGCUCAGGUCAUGAUCUCGCAGUCCGUGAGCUCAAGCCCUGCAUCAGGCUCUGUGCUGACAGCUCGGAGCCUGGAGCCUGUUUCAGAUUCUGUGUCUCCUUCUCUCUGACCCUCCCCCACUCAUGCUCUGUCUCUCUCUGUCUCAAAAAUAAAUAAAAAUAAACGUUAAAAAAAUUUUAAAAAAAGUUAAAAAAAACAUUAAAAAAAGAACACCUCUGUGAUUUGUGUACCAAAGUACAGACCCUCAUGCCCCCACCCCCCACCCCAUCAUUUAAAGGGUAGGACUAAGGAGGAUAAUUUUCAGUCUCUGACUUCACUUUCUUUUUUAAGCCUUUCUUUUGUUAUUAAAAAUUUUUUUUCAAAUAUUUUUGAGAGACAGAGGGGAGGGGGACAGAGGAUCUGAAGCAGGCUCUGUGCUGACAGCAGAGAGCCUAGUGCGGGGCUCGAACUCCCCAACGAUCAUGACCUGGGUUGAAGUCGGACCCUUAACCAACUGAGCCACCCAGACACUCCUCUGACUUCACUUGAGACUAUUACACUUGAAUGAAUAUUUCCUGAGCACUGACCCUGACCCAGGGACUUGGGUAUGGAGAUAACGAAGCCACGCCUAACAGGCAUGUGUCUAAAGGACGUAGAGUGUGGGGGCCGCCCGAGGGGCUUAGUCGGUCAAGUGUCCAGCUCAUGGUUUUCGCUCAGGUCACGGUCUCAUGGGCUCUGCUAACAACACGGAGCCUGCCUGGGAUUCUUUCUCUCCCUCUCUCUGCCCCUCCCCCCCCAAAUAAAUAAAUGUAGAAAAAAGGGACAUAGAGUGUGUGUAUGUGUAUGUUUUGGGGGUGGUGGUGUUUAUACUCUGAAGAGCAACCCUCAACGGCUUCCUGCUCUCCCAGGUUCCUGGGCCAGGAAGGGGGGCUCAGAUAUUUGAAGUCUGGACCAGAUCUUAGUUUCUUUCCAGCAGGUAGAAAAUGUAGGCAGAGCUUCCUGUGAAAUGAUAGACCAUGUUACCACUGCCUAUCUCCACCCGAAUAAAGCCAAUCCGCCUAGAAACCACUUUGGGGCUGGGGCACCUGGGUAGCUAGGUUGAUUAAACAUCCGACUUCGGCCCAGGUCAUGAUCUCACAGUUUGUGGGUUCGAGCCCCACAUCGGGCCCUGUGCUGCCAGUUCAGAGCCUGGAGCCUGCUUCGGAUUCUGUCUCCCUCUCUCUCUGCUCCUCCCCUACUCAUGCUCUGUCUCUCUCUGUCUCUCAAAAAUAAAUAAACAUUAAAAAAAAUAUCACUUUUGGUGAUGUGGAGUUUGAGGAUUCUUUCAGAGCAAAUUUUAUUGCAAGGAGAGGGUGCCUGUUCUUGAACUAGAACUGUUGAUAUUAAUGAAUAUUGUUAAGAGAUAACUUAAAAAUUUUUAAAUGUUUAUUUUUGAGAGAGAGAGAGAGAGACAGAAUGUGAACGGGGCGAGGUCAGAGCGAGAGGGAGACACAAUUUCAAGCAGGCUCCAGGCCCAAGCUAUUAGCCCAGAGCCUGACAUAGGGCUCGAAACCAUAAAGAAUGAGAUUGUGACCUGAGCCAAAGUUGGACGCUUCACCGACUGAGCCACCCACAUGCCCCAAGAGACAACUUUUAUUAUUUUUGAUUUAUUUAUUUUUAAUUUUUUUUUAAAACGUUUAUUUAUUUUUGAGACAGAGACAGAGCAUGAACGGGGGAGGGGCAGAGAGAGAGAGGGAGACACAGAAUCUGAAACAGGCUCCAGGCUCUGGGCUGUCAGCACAGAGCCCCACGUGGGGCUCGAACUCACAGAUGGCGAGGUCAUGACCUGAGCCGAAGUUGGAUGCUCAACCGACUGAGCCACCCAGGUGCCCCAAGAGACAACUUUUAAAAUGUGUUUUUCCUUUAAAGCAGAAAAGCAAAAUUUACUUCAGUACUGAGAUCAACUUAGUGGCCAACUUAGAACAAACCCGGUCCGAAUUCUGAUGACCCCACCGUGCCUCUUGAUGGUGGCGGAUGAGGCCUCACCGUAAUUUUUCCUCCUUUUUCCUACAUCUUGAGAGUACACUCGCGGAACUCCUCUUGGCCGAAAGAUCAUUUUGCGUGUGUUCUGUUCCUCCUUCCUGCAGACCGGCGUGUCUGCCCGUAGGCCCCCCCUCGGGAGCUGGCUGUCUGGACCUCACCUUGCGUUUGUAGCCCCUGCUCCUGGACUCCAGGCAGGAACCUUCAGACCCAGCUUCAUUCAGCUAGGGAGUGGGCCCGACCCCCCCAGGGCCACGCUUCCUGGACGUGGCUCCAGGGGCGGCGUGACAAGGGGCUGGGGACAGGUCCCAGAGAGCUUGAAGCUAAGGUUAAGGAGUCCUGGGCCUGGACCGCCCCCUCUCCUGCCCCCCCCCCCUCCCAGAGGAGGUCACCCUAGUCUCUGGGGCUUUGGAUUGUUUGGGGGAGGUCUUGGCCCAUCAUUUUUUUUCUUCUUCCUGCCUUGCUGGCCAGCAUUUAACCUUGUGAUUAGAAAAAUGUAAAAAUGGGUCUUCAUUCAUUCAUUCAUUCAUUCAUUAAAAAUUUUUUAUUUAAAAAUUUAAAAAUGCUUAUUUUUGAGAGAGAGCACAGGCAGGGGAAGGGCAGAGAGAGAGGGAGACACAGAAUCUGAAGCAGGCUCCAGGCUCCGAGCCGUCAGCCCAGAGCCCGACACGGGGCUCGAACCCACAAACCUCGAGAUCAUGACCUCGGCCAAAGUCGGCCGCUCAACCGACUGAGCCGCCCAGCCACCCCUUUGCUCUUUAUUUUCCAGUGUUUUAUUAGUACACUAAAACGUUCUAUUUAUAAAGCAAAAAUUGUAAAGCUUUGUUAGGAAAAUUGGCCAAGCGUUCAAUUUGUAGCAAAUGUCAAAUUACCACGUUGACUCUUAGCCAUCUGGCAGUUGGCAAAUGGGAGCUGCUGUCUGGCCUGGGGCAGGGUGGCAGGUCUUAGUGGGUGGUGGUGUCACUGUAGCUACACUGGAGACCGCAGAAGCAGGGACACCUCUUGGAGGAAAAUGCACCGCUGGGCGCCCGGGGGGCUCAGUCAGUUGAGCGGCCGACUCCGGCUCAGGUCACGAUCUCACGGUUCCUGAGUUUAGGCCCCACGUGGGGCUCUGUGCUGACGGCUCGGAGCCUGGAGCCUGCUUCGGAUUCUGGGUCUCCCUCUCUCUCUGCCCCUCCCCUGCUCAAGCUCUGUCUCUCAAAAAUAGAUAAACGUUAAAAUAAAUUUUAAAAAGUAAAAUUGUCCAUGACCACCGGAUAUUAAAAACUAUGCACUUGGCCGGGGACGUAGCAGAUGAGGGGGUCUGUGGGACGUGCAUGCACACAGGCCUCCAGGAAAUACCUGUUGAGCAUCGACCCCGUGGUCAGUGCUGUGCCAGGCUCUGGGGACACGGCUGUGGACGGAGAAGCAAAAAGUCCAGGUGACGGAGUUCGAGUCGGUUGAAAGGGGCUGCCGAUCCCAGAGAGAGAGCAGGAGGGCACGGAGAUUGCUAGAGUGACCGGGACCAGGGAGAAAAAUGCAGCGGUGGGUGUUGUGCGCCUGCGUGAGAAGAGGCGGCGUGAGCGGGAGGUUGGGAUGUGAGCUGGGGGGCCUCUAGCGAGGCCUCGUGGGAGGGUGGCCUCAGCGGAAAGACAGGUUAGAAGUGAGGGGCUCAGCCCUUGAGGGGGGACCGCCAGCCGUGGAGGGGUGGACGAGCGGAGCUGGGAGGGACCGGGAGGCCACAGGCGGCAGGAGGGAUACUGUGUGAUGCCAGCCAAGCUCUAACAGCGUUGCUCUGGGGCGAGGAAGUGGGGAGAAGCAAUGGGAUUCUGGGCUCAUCUGGAAGCCGGCUGAUGAACGGGACGUGGGGUUUGGAAGGGAACGGGUCGGGGCGACGGGAAGACUGUAGCUUGAGCAGCAAGAUCGGCAGAGCGGCCUGUGCCGAGCCUGGAGGGCUGCGGUGGGGCAGGUUUGGGGAAGGUCAGCCGGCUGACCUUGGACAAAUAAGUUGGGAGAACCUGUUAGAGAUCCCAGCGAGGCCCGGCGGUGAGGCCUGGACGUGCGGAGCCGGGAGGUGGAGACCAGGGUCACCAGAGGCGGGGGUGGGGCCUUGGGGCCAGGGACGUGGGUGCAGGUGCUCGUGUGUGCACGCGAGUGGGUGCGUGUAGCUGGGCAGAUACAGGGUGGGCAGCGGCACUGAGGGUUAGAGCUUAACACCCAGGACUCGCUCGAAGGUAGGGAUUUGGUGGCUCUCAGGGCAGAGGUGGUGACUUCUCAACUCUUCAUUAGGAGAUUUUCAAACAUGCAGCCCAAGGGGACGGGCCGACGUUCUCGCAGCUUCCCGGCAGGAAGGCCUUUUUUAGGACAAGCCCAGCACUGUCAGCCUGCCUUAGGCCUCACGCGCUCCCCUGAAAUCAUGAGCCUCCCCCACCGCCGGGAGCUGUGGGGGGACAGGCAGCGGCAGCCCUUGGGGUAAAGGGCCGAGCCUCAUAGCCCUUACAUCCUGUGGACAGAUCACGAGAUAGAGUCCUGCCCCGCCACGUGGACAAGUGCGUAGAAAGGAGCCCGUGUGGGGGCGCCUGGGUGGCUCAGUCAGUUGAGCGGCUGACUCUUGAUUUCGGCUCAGGUCGUGAUCCCAGGGUCGAGACUGAGCCCCACCCACAUCGGGCUCCCCACUGAGCGUGGAACCUGCUUAAGAUUCUCUCCCUUUCUCUCUCUGCCCCUCCCCCACGUUUCUUUCUGUCUGUCUGUCUCUCUCUCUCUCUCAAAAUAAACAAACAUGUAGACAUUAAAAAAAAAAAAGCCUGCGUGUGGAUCCACUCUGCAUGUCCUGGGGACGCACAGGGUGGCCCACAGUCAGCAUCUGGGGGACCUCGUGUAUUUAUUGUAUAAUGUUUAAUGGUUGUUUUUUUUUUUAACCACGUGCAUGAAAUACCUUUUUGUUAAAAAGUACGUAAGAAGCCCUUUAACACGGUGCCAACCAGCUGGUCUAGAAAACAUGGGGUUGGCACUGACCCUGGCCUGUACCUCCGUCAGAGAAAGCGAGGAGGAAAGAGGGGUCUGGUUCCUCUACUUGUUAUAAUUUCACUUUUUUGGUACUUUUGUCUGCACUUGGCCUGGAGAGAGCACUGAGAAACAGGACGCGUUCCUUCGGAGUUCAAGGUUAAGUUGCUUUGGACAUGUCACGGACACAGGAGUCAACGGAACGAGUUCCGGCCAAAACGGGACUAAAUCGCGUAGCAUGUAUGUAGUUAUUAUUUUUAAAUGGUUUAGUUUUUUCGGUAAUCUCUACGCUGAACGUGGGGCCGGAACUCACAACCUCGAGAUCAAGAGUCACAUACUCUUGCACCCCAAAAAUGAAGUCGUAUUUAUUAUAACCCAAAAGUGUAAAAUAAGCGUGAAUCCACACUGCCACGGGUGGUUGAGUAAAUCAACAAGCAGGUAGAAAAAUCUCCCACGCGGAGGGAGCUCCGUAGACGCUCCCUGUCUGCGCGGGGGCAUAAAUCUCCAGUCGUUGAGUGUGGUGGCUGGCGUGACCGUGUCCCAGGAGGGCCGGGAGGGAGAAAUCCGACAGGUGCCGUGCCAGCCAGGUGGCCACGGCGAGGUCCCUGUAAAACUUGAUGGUGACACCCGUGCGAUGAGGGCACUGCCCCUCUGUGGGCGGCCUCCUCAAAUUCACAGUCCUAGUGAUUUUGGAAGAAAAACGUCAGCCGAAUCCCAGUGGGGGGACAUCUUACAAGACGUCCUCAGAACCGUCCAGGUCAUCAAAAGCGAGGAGAGCCUGAGCCGCUGUCACAGCCGAGAGGGGCCUAAGAGGAUAUGCCCACUGAGUGGCCACUGGAUGGAAUGUAGUGUCCUGGGUGGGACCCGGGGGCAGAAAGAGGAGGCGAAGUGAAAGCUAAUGACAUCUGAAGGAAGUACAGACGGACUUCAGUUAAUACUUAAAGAAAUUGAUUUUUUUUUUUUUAUUUAAAAAAAAAAUUUUUUUUUUCAACGUUUAUUUAUUUUUGGGACAGAGAGAGACAGAGCAUGAACGGGGAAGGGGCAGAGAGAGAGGGAAACACAGAGUCGGAAACAGGCUCCAGGCUCUGAGCCAUCAGCCCAGAGCCCGAGCGGGGCUCGAACUCACGGACCGCGAGAUCGUGACCUGGCUGAAGUCGGACGCUCAACCGACUGCGCCACCCAGGCGCCCCAAGAAAUUGAUUUUUUAAAAAUAUUUAUUAACAUUUAUUUUUGAGAGACAGAGAGAGGCAGAGCAUGAGCAGGGGAGGGGGGGGAGAGAGAGAGAGAGAGAGAGAGAGAGAGAGAGAGAGAAUCUGAAGCAGGCUCCAGGCUCCGAGCUGUUAGCACAGAGCCCAACACAGGGCUCAAACUCACCAACUGCAAGACCAUGAGCCGAGCUGAAGUCGGACGCUCAACCGACGGAGCCACCCAGACGCCCCUUAAAGACAUUGAUUUUUGCUGGGAACCGUUCUAGCCUUGAAGAUGCUAAUGUGCCUUGUGCUUUAGGGUCUGUUUUUAUCCUUUCCUGUUCCUCUGACCUUGGCCCGGAACUGGUGUGCCACGGAGCCCACUUUGGGAAGUGGGAGGCGUGCGUGUGGUGACUGUGGCGCUUCCCCUCAGGGCCUGGCGGUGCCUUCCCGCAAGGACUCUUGAAAACCAGGGACAUGAGACUCCACGGAGGUAGGUUUGCAGCCCCUCGUGCUCUGGGUAAGUUGUUUUGUUUUUUGCUGUUCUCACUCUUCUUUGGGUGCCUGUUGUUUUUUUAAAAAGUUGUUUUUUUAAAAAGUUGUUUUUUUAAUAACCUCACACUUGGGAAAAGCUCUCUGACUCGGGUGGGUCAGUCCCCAUCCCGGGCUCACGUUCUUCAUCUGUUAAAGGGGGAGGAGGACAUUUGAGCUGAGUGGGUGCCCCCCCAACAGUCUAGAACUUUCAGUGUCAAUGAAUGUGUGACAUUCCCUUUUUUUCCCCCUAGAUUUAUCUGUGCUUUAUUUCAAAAGAAAUUGAAAUUGUUGAUAGUAGUUAGCCUAAUAAAAAUGAAAGCCUCAAUUAAAGAAUACAUUUUCCUCGUAAAAUAAGAUAUUUUUUUUUUGUUUCUUUUUUUUUAAAUAUGAAAUUUAUUGUCAAAUUGGUUUCCAUACUGAAUGUGUGACUUUUCCAAUGAGCUUGUUAAGACCGAGCUUCUCGGGGCAAAGGGGCUUUCCCCUCACAGAGGCGAAGCCCACGGGCUACACUCCCCGCCUCCAGCUGCCCGCGGGUUCCCUAAAACGCUUUCGGAAAACUCUAGAUCUGUCUUGGGGAGGUAGCACCCACGGUGAAACCCAGCCCCGUUGGGACGCAGCUCUGACUCUGACAAAUGCGUCCUACAGAGCGACCGCCAUCACAGCCAAGGCACACAGUCCCACAGCUCCGGAAGGUUCCCUCCUGCCCUUUUGUGGCCAAGCCC